CCUACGGGAGGCAGCAGCAGGGAAUAUUGUGCAAUGAACGAAAGUUUGACACAGCGACACCGCGUGUGGGAUGACGGAUCUAGGUUUGUAAACCACUUUCAGGAGGGAAGAAAAUGACGGUACCUCCACAAGAAGCCCCGGCCAACUACGUGCCAGCAGCCGCGGUAAUACGUAGGGGGCGAGCGUUGUCCGGAUUUAUUGGGCGUAAAGAGCUCGUAGGCGGUUCAACAAGUCGGUAGUAAAAGUUCAGGGCUCAACCCUGAAAUGUCUAUCGAUACUGUUGUGACUAGGAUACGGCAGAGGUGAGUGGAAUUCCGAGUGUAGCGGUGAAAUGCGUAGAUAUUCGGAGGAACACCAAUUGCGAAGGCAGCUCACUGGGCCGCUAUCGACGCUGAGGAGCGAAAGCUAGGGGAGCAAACAGGAUUAGAUACCCUGGUAGUCCUAGCUGUAAACGAUGGAUACUAGACGUAGGAACUGGAUUGACGGUUUCUGUGUCGUAGCUAACGCGUUAAGUAUCCCGCCUGGGGAGUACGGUCGCAAGACUAAAACUCAAAGGAAUUGACGG
Molecule: ribosomal RNA, 565 nt
Filed under: uncultured Actinomycetes bacterium
Lineage: Bacteria; Bacillati; Actinomycetota; Actinomycetes
Description: bacterial SSU rRNA
Rfam family: Bacterial small subunit ribosomal RNA
Source: RNAcentral